RNAcentral lists this ribosomal RNA (420 nucleotides) under uncultured bacterium. RNAcentral describes it as "bacterial SSU rRNA". It matches the Rfam family "Bacterial small subunit ribosomal RNA", at positions 356 to 773 of the family's 1533-position model. The record is from RNAcentral.
GAGGAAUAUUGGUCAAUGGGCGAGAGCCUGAACCAGCCAAGUCGCGUGAAGGAAGAAGGUUCUAUGGAUUGUAAACUUCUUUUGUAAGGGAAUAAAAAGAGUUACGUGUAACUUAUUGUAUGUACUUUACGAAUAAGGAUCGGCUAACUCCGUGCCAGCAGCCGCGGUAAUACGGAGGAUCCAAGCGUUAUCCGGAUUUAUUGGGUUUAAAGGGUGCGUAGGCGGGCCCUUAAGUCAGUGGUGAAAGUUUGCAGCUUAACUGUAAAAUUGCCAUUGAAACUGAGGGUCUUGAGUGUAAAUAAGGUAGGCGGAAUGUGUUGUGUAGCGGUGAAAUGCUUAGAUAUAACACAGAACACCAAUUGCGAAGGCAGCUUACUGGGAUACAACUGACGCUGAGGCACGAAAGCGUGGGGAUCAAAC